RNAcentral lists this unclassified non-coding RNA (677 nucleotides) under Hevea brasiliensis (rubber tree). Lineage: Eukaryota; Viridiplantae; Streptophyta; Magnoliopsida; Malpighiales; Euphorbiaceae. The record is from RNAcentral.
GGCGAAUCAAAAUCCCCAUUUAUGGAUACAACGCAUCUGAUAAAGUUCAUUUAUAAAGGCUAAAAUUGUAACAACAAGGUACCUGAGAAAUCAAAAAAAUACCUUUAUUUGGCGAUAAACUAAUCUCUGAAAGCAAACAAAACAGAGAUUAAAUACAUAAAUUAAAAAAACAAAUUUGAUGGAUAGUGGAAUUCUACGGCAGAUCAGCUACAUGAUCUUACGACAGUGAUUAAAUCCAUACCAGACUCCAUUAGGAAGAAGCUUAUUAUAUUUAAAGGUAAUCGCAGGACGAUCUGAACCGUACACCUUGACGCUCUCCGGUUUCCAGCCGUCGGAUCCAACUCUCUUCAAGUAAAGGUAGCAGAUCUCAUAAAUACAGGGGCCGCGGAUCUGGAAAGUAUCCGUAGAACAGGUCUCGAAUAUCCUUGAUGAUGGAUUAUCUAUCCUGGGCGCAUAGACCUCAAAUCCAUAAGCAUCUCCAAAAGCAAUACUGACUCUGUCUCUGGUGUAUUUAGGUGAAGAACAGCUUGUUUUGAUGGUCAAUGUGUAUGAGCAGCUUCUAGCAGCAGUGGCGCUAUGAUUGGUCUCGAUGAAAAUUAAGGGUUUUAUUGAAGUUGAUGUUGCUUGUGAGAAACUGAUGAAGAAGAAUACAGCUAAACUGAGCACAACGAACUGAC